This 459-nucleotide long non-coding RNA is filed under the name Carassius auratus (goldfish). RNAcentral describes it as "lncRNA (ENSCARG00000040852.1)". Lineage: Eukaryota; Metazoa; Chordata; Actinopteri; Cypriniformes; Cyprinidae. The record is from RNAcentral.
AGCACCUACCUCAGAGUUCUUCUGGAGCGCGUAUCUUAACGUUACAUUUGAUAUCGCUGACAUAAGCCUAGUUCUGAUGAUUUUUUUACAGUCUACGGUUCAGAUGAAGUUCUGAAGAUUCAGCGCAGAAUUCAAUAAUCCUGUGGAUGGACCGCAGCGAGUCCUUUUGCAGUUAUCCAUCAAAAAGAUAUGCAGACAUAAUGGAAAUGGCAUUUACAUUGUAGAGCUUGGACGAAGUUCACACAGGCUCUGCGCAGGAAUUCAUCAAGGACAUGACUGCUGGGAUUACGCUUCUGGAUGACCAAUCUGAGCACCAUCAGUCUGCAGUCAUGUGGUCCAGGUAAUAGAAGAAGAAGAAAUCUGGGUGAUCUGGGGUUGUAACUCGUUGUUAGACGAUCUGUGUACUGUGUUAGACGAUCUGGGACUGGGACUAACAGAAAUAAACUAAUUCAGGUUUAA